UACGGGGGGGGCAAGCGUUGUUCGGAAUUACUGGGCGUAAAGGGCUCGUAGGCGGCCAACUAAGUCAGACGUGAAAUCCCUCGGCUUAACCGGGGAACUGCCUCUGAUACUGGAUGGCUUGAGAUUGGGAGAGGGAUGCGGAAUUCCAGGUGUAGCGGUGAAAUGCGUAGAUAUCUGGAGGAACACCGGUGGCGAAGGCGGCAUCCUGGACCAACACUGACGCUGAGGAGCGAAAGCCAGGGGAGCAAAGCAGGG
This 255-nucleotide ribosomal RNA is filed under the name uncultured bacterium. Its description in RNAcentral is "partial 16S ribosomal RNA". It matches the Rfam family "Bacterial small subunit ribosomal RNA", at positions 524 to 778 of the family's 1533-position model. The record is from RNAcentral.